GGGGGUAGCCAAAUGCCUCGUCAUCUA
Molecule: unclassified non-coding RNA, 27 nt
Filed under: Dictyostelium discoideum
Lineage: Eukaryota; Evosea; Eumycetozoa; Dictyosteliales; Dictyosteliaceae
Source: RNAcentral